UUCCCCGACCUGACAGGUGCGCGGCCCGGGCCGACUGGGCUCUCAGAGCCGAGACGUGGGGCCCCGACCCGGCCGCGGGGCUGGGCCCGCUCCGCCGCCCCGACCCCGCGUGGUCCGCCAACUCCCUCCUGCGCGCGGAGAGGACGGGCAUUGUUCUCGGGGCCCCGGAGAGCGCGAGAGCGGCCUGAGGUGCUCCAACAGGGCCCCUGAGCAGGACUGGAGGCAGUCAGAGAAGGACCUGUGGGAGGAGCUGGCAGAAAGCAGGCGGCAAAGGGCCGAGCUGGCCAGCCAUCUUCGAGCAGUGCUGGAGGCCCUAUCGGAGCAAGCCCUUGUGCUGCAGAGGAGAGCAUGAGCUGGGACUCAGCUGGUCCUAAAGCAGCAAGUGAGGCCCUGUCUUCCCCCACUCCUUCUUCCUGGGCUUUCUGUAGCUGAAAGGAGGUCCGCUGAGCUACCAACAUCCCCUUAGCAGGCUGAAAGCUCCAGAAUGCACAGAGCUGGUGUCCACAUCUGGUGCCAUAUUCUCAGGGAGGCUUGCCGGGGUCUGGGGCACCCAGAGGAAGGGAAAUGGAGUCCCCAGCAAGGCUGCGGUGUUGAACAGAGAUGUCUCUGAAUGGUACCCCUGGAAGGGUGCAGGGUGUUGCCUGGGAGGCAUAUGUUCGGGGUGGCUAGGGACACCACUGGAGGUGAAGGAAGGGCCAGGGAGGCCCCCCUUCAGGGAGAAUCUGAGGCCCCCCAGGGAGAAUCUGAGGGAGGGAGGGGCUGGUUUUAGCUCCAUAGACUGAAGAGCUUCCUUAGAAGCGCCAUCUCCCCAAGUGAAACAGGCGAUCCCCAGAGAGGGGGAGAUGGCUGUGCAGGCUGAGGGUUCUUGGGAAGAUUACCAGCAUCUCCUACCUCGUGUGAGGGUAGGAAGGACACCGUGUGAUGGCCCAGUUACCCAAGCCUUCAGUGACUCCGUGUCUUAGCUCACAGCUGGCCCUCCUGGAGCCACUCCUCCCUUACUAGGCCUGGGGGACCCUUGGGACCUAGUUGACAACCUCAUGUCUGCCCGCCCUUUAGCAUGCCACAGCAGUUCUGCUGGCCUCCACCCUGAAACCCGUCAGCAGCUGGAGAGUAGCUGGAGAGGCAGUGUAUCUCGGACCCAGCUGGAGGCAGAGGAUGCACAGCUGGAGCGUGUCGUGAUAGAUAACAGCCAAAAGCAGCCCCUCAGGGCCCCAGGGCACGGGUCCAUGCUGGGCUGUCAGCUGGGCUGUUGGCUGCCAGUCCGCCUGCGUUAUCAGAGGCUGCAGACACUGCCCUGCCUGGUGGGAGGCAGGGAAGCUAGGCCUACCUAUCCGAGGCUCUGUGCUGCCUUUGACCCUCCCACUCAGUCUCCUCCCAGCAAGUGGAGUGCUCCCUGGCCUGCCUGGAGCAGGAGAGGCACCAAAGGCAGGGAUCCCAGGGACAGGCUGAGUGGAGGAGGCCAGACCAGGACAUAGAAGACAAGAUCCUGCUGCUGCAGACAGAAGUGGAAAAGGCCCAGCGGCAUUUGGACCAGAUGACCCAACAGCCUCUUGGCCCAGAGCCCAGCCCGGGGAUACCCCAAUACACUCCAGGUCCCGGAGGUACCAGUGCCGCUCAGGAAACAGCUAGAAGCACAAGAAUCACAUCCCAGGCUUCGUGAGGAGAUGGCUGAGUACUGUAGGACACGCUGGCACCAGGUGGCAGUUGCCCUGAAAUUUAAAGAGGAGGAACUGCAGAGACUCCAGAGGCAGAGUGGGACCUGGCCUCCCCAGCCUCAGCUUGUGGAUCCAGAGCUGGGUACUGAGCUGUACUGGACCAGCGGACCCCCUCCUGGGAUCGGUGGACUUGGAGCAGAAGAGUCCCUCCAGGACUGAAGACUGCACACACAAAACUUGGGAACUGUCAACUGCCCUGUUACUCACCUCGUGAAAAAAACUGGAUUUAAAUGAGCGCGAAUGGAGCUGACAAUUCCCAGAAACUCGAAUUGGGAUGGUGAGAUUUUAGUUCAGCCCAGGGCGGUCUCAUGCGUGGGUGGUAAAGUUGAGCUUUGAGGUGGUCUUCAGAGGGAAAGGAAUACCCUCCGCGGGCAGAGCUUCCCGGGUUCCGGGCCCUUCGGGACGUCAACACAGGUCCAACUGCCCUUAGGCUCCUCCGCACACCCUGGAUCCAAUAAUAAAUCCCUUUCCUCUCUGCCUCCA
Rhinopithecus roxellana (golden snub-nosed monkey) is the source of this 2198-nucleotide long non-coding RNA. RefSeq lists it as uncharacterized. The record is from RefSeq and is a predicted model, not a curated record. The transcript has 5 exons. Lineage: Eukaryota; Metazoa; Chordata; Mammalia; Primates; Cercopithecidae.